RNAcentral lists this ribosomal RNA (468 nucleotides) under uncultured bacterium. RNAcentral's name for it is "partial 16S ribosomal RNA". It matches the Rfam family "Bacterial small subunit ribosomal RNA", at positions 28 to 507 of the family's 1533-position model. The record is from RNAcentral.
GACGAACGCUGGCGGCGUGCUUAACACAUGCAAGUCGAACGGAAAGGCCCUGCUCUUGUGGGGUGCUCGAGUGGCGAACGGGUGAGUAACACGUGAGUAACAUGCCCUUGACUUUGGGAUAACUUCAGGAAACUGGGGCUCAUACCGGAUAGGAGCUCCUGCUGCAUGGUGGGGGUUGGAAAGUUUCGGCGGUUGGGGAUGGACUCGCGGCUUAUCAGCUUGUUGGUGGGGUAGUGGCUUACAAAGGCUUUGACGGGUAGCCGGCCUGAGCGGGUGACCGGCCACAUGAGGACUGAGAGACGGACCAGACUCGUACGGGAGGCAGCAGGCGGGAGUAUGGCGCAAUGGGCGGAAGCGUGAGGCAGCAACGCUGCGUUCGUGAAGACGGCCUUCGGGUGGUAAACCGCUUUCUCCGGUAACAAAGCGGGAGUGACGGUAAUGGGUAAAGAAGCACCGGCUAACUACGUG